Rhipicephalus sanguineus (brown dog tick) is the source of this 2715-nucleotide long non-coding RNA. RefSeq lists it as uncharacterized. The record is from RefSeq and is a predicted model, not a curated record. The transcript is spliced from 3 exons. Lineage: Eukaryota; Metazoa; Arthropoda; Arachnida; Ixodida; Ixodidae.
AACGGUCGCUCCACCGGCUGAUGCACGCUUGAACUACUUGAACGGGCUUGGGCUUUCAUCUCCUGUCUCUACACCGACGACGAUGACCGCGAGUCGGGCAGCUUUCGUUUCGACAACGUAGUACGCGAACCGGUGCUCCGUAGCGACUUCGUCGUGGCUACCUCGAACAACAUCCAUGACCUGGACGUCGAAGGCGAGGAUGCUGCAUUGCGCUGCCUUGCCACAAUUGAGUGCCCAUGCUGCAAGUUCAGUCGUAACCUCGUGGAGUGGGUGGGAUCCAACUUCAUGGAGAAAGUAAAGGCUGAAGAGCUGUGUUUGAGUAUGCUUUGCUGGUGCUCAUUCUGUUUUUAGCCAUUUCAAAAGAUGUAAGAAGUGGCAGUAGUGACCUGAUAUCACUUGGCCCUUGGCUGCUCUUCCGUAUCAACACUGGCUCUGCCCAAACUAGGCACCAAGUUCAAGAGACCAAAGUGUGUAUGCUCACUUCCCGAGUGUGAAAGGGAAAUGCACAUCGGCAUCAGUUAGAAAUAGCAUAAAAAGACGUGAAAAGUCAAAGGAAAAUAAAAGUAUGCAGAGGGAACAAGAGCUGUAAGGGUUCGCCAUAAGACCUGUAAAUAAUUUAUAGUAGUACUGUGUAUUCUUUGGGAGAGUGGUAAGCUGUCAUCAUACCUCUAGAACAGCCAAGAAAACAACGCAGCGUGGAAUAGACCAGACGGACCAGCCAUAAACUUAGUGCUGAAUAAUUGAUCUGGUUGAGUGUUUUGUCACCCGCAAAUCACCCGAAACGUCCGUGUUCUUCACCUUGACUUGGUCAGUGACCGCAUCUACAUCCUCAAAUGUUUCCUUCCUAUGCACACGAAACAAUGUUAAAGAAAAAAAAGCUUUUGCAGAACAAGAUCUCCUUUCUGUAUUGCAUACGACACCCGUCUUCAUGCAAGGGUCUUAUUGUUUGCCUUUUCUAAAGUGUGUGCUUUAUGCUUAUUUCCUGCUCAUUCCUGCCUGCAAGGGUUAUGAAAGCAUGAACUUGACUUCAAGGGACGAGGCAAAAAAGAAAGUACAAUGGAAAGCACGGGCAAACACAUUAUUAACCUUGCUGCAAGUAGACUUGGAAAGAAAGGACUGCAGCUGUUCUUUAGUUGACAAACAUCAUUAUGAUGGUAUUUGUAUUCUUCUGUAAAUCUCAGCUUGGGGCAGCAGCAACACACAAUUGGUGCCAGGGUGAUUGUCUCUUCUUUGCUGUGCCAUCAUGCUGUCAGUUUCUGUAGUGUUUAUAGCAAGCACUAAAGUACGAUGAAUGUUCUGUAAAUAUGUUGCUGCUACAGAUGCUAUGCUUUGAAUUUGAGGCCUUGAAAUGACCCUCCAUUUGCAACUUUUACAGCAGAGCUGUGAUGCUUGAGGUUUGCUGUGUGCCAUAGAUAUAAAAUUAUUGACAUCAUGAACUGGCAUGUGCUCUCUUUGUCCUCUUCUGCUUUGCUCCCAGAACAUGUGUGCCGAUUUGUCCGGCGUGGGAUGCAACAACUCCGAUGGGUGAGAGAACAAGUAGAGAGAAAUUCUCGGCGAGGCGAGAUUUGAACCCCCGUACCCACGAUUCGAAGGCGAGCUUUGUAACCACUCGGCUACCCAGGCACUCUAGCAGAGCAUAGCAUAGGCUUGUAUAGUAUAGUGUAGCAAAGGGAUGAGAAAGGAAUUGAGGGUGAGGGUAGAAAGCAUAGCAUAGAAAGAAAGAAAAAUGGAAACAAAGGGAAGAAACGUGGAAAGAGAAUCAAAGAAAAAAAAGAAUAAUAAGUAGAGUGAGAAGGAGAUAGAAAGAGGAUGUGAGAACAAGAGAAAGAAAGAAAUACAUAAAAAUAAACAGACAAAAAGGAAAAGGAGAGCAAGCAUAGUGAUGUACAAUAUAGUAUGGCAAGGGGUGGGAAAGAGACAGGUGAAAGGGUAAAAGCCUAGCCAAGCCAGGACCAGCAGGUGCCCACCAGCUCUGCUGUAACACAGCCUUGCGCGACUUUGUGCAAGCUGCAAUUUUUUUUUUUUCAUAAAAAGAUUACCGUUUUUAUGAUGUAUGUGCUGGUCUUUCUUGGAGGGACAUGAUUUCAGUAAUGUUACUUUGUCACUGUAUAAUCAUACAAGCACUAACGAUCUUGUCAUGCUUUCUUUAGUUCUUCAGGUGUCAAAUGAUAUUCUCUUAUGUAUGAGUGCAUUUACAUUAUUAUGUCUCACGGUAAACGGAACGAUUAUUUUAUUGAGGUUGAUGCUGGGACUGUUCGUACAUUGUUGAAAAUAACGUCGACAUCCAGCCUUGAAGGAUGCGUACACAAGAAGGAAUUGCAUGAACACGCACGCUGGGAACAUAGAACAAUGCUCAGUGAAGCACAUAGACGUGCAUAUACGAAGCCGCCCAGGUUGUGUGCAAUUACGUUCUCUUGUGUAAGCGUCCUUGAAGGCUGGGCGUUGUUCCUUCGAACAAUUUUAGUUAAAUUGUGUAAACUAUGUUUAUUGUAAAAAAUAAAGCACUCUUCAUAAGUGAAACAUUAUAUGUCUCUGUGAUAUAAUUUUGCUUUCGCGUGGUGCAACUACUAAUUUAAAAUCUAAUUUAAUUUAAUUAAAGUAACCAGUUGAUCACUUAACACCAGCAUUGUGUUUGUGUUCUCCAUAAUACAUUGAGCAGGGCUGUAACUAAGGGGGUGUUGAGGGGUACCACCAUUUGCUAAAGUUAGCCGUUCU